This 463-nucleotide ribosomal RNA is filed under the name uncultured bacterium. RNAcentral describes it as "partial 16S ribosomal RNA". It matches the Rfam family "Bacterial small subunit ribosomal RNA", at positions 28 to 507 of the family's 1533-position model. The record is from RNAcentral.
GACGAACGCUGGCGGCGUGCUUAACACAUGCAAGUCGAACGGAAAGGCCUUUUCGGAGGUACUCGAGUGGCGAACGGGUGAGUAACACGUGGGUGAUCUGCCCUGCACUCUGGGAUAAGCCUGGGAAACUGGGUCUAAUACCGGAUAGGACCGCACUUUAGUGUGUGUGGUGGAAAGUUUUUUCGGUGUAGGAUGAGCCCGCGGCCUAUCAGCUUGUUGGUGGGGUAAUGGCCUACCGAGGCGGCGACGGGUAGCCGGACUGAGAGGUUGGUCGGCCACAUUGAGACUGAGAUACGGCCCAGACUCCUACGGGAGGCAGCAGUGGGGAAUAUUGCACAAUGGGCGCAAGCCUGAUGCAGCGACGCCGCGGGGGGGAUGACGGCCUUCGGGUUGUAAACUCCUUUCGCCAGGGACGAAGCGUUUUGUGACGGUACCUGGAGAAGAAGCACCGGCUAACUACGUG